This 460-nucleotide ribosomal RNA is filed under the name uncultured bacterium. Its description in RNAcentral is "partial 16S ribosomal RNA". It matches the Rfam family "Bacterial small subunit ribosomal RNA", at positions 338 to 795 of the family's 1533-position model. The record is from RNAcentral.
CCUACGGGUGGCAGCAGUGAGGAAUAUUGGUCAAUGGACGAGAGUCUGAACCAGCCAAGUAGCGUGAAGGAUGACUGCCCUAUGGGUUGUAAACUUCUUUUAUAUGGGAAUAAAAUGUUCCACGUGUGGGAUUUUGUAUGUACCAUAUGAAUAAGGAUCGGCUAACUCCGUGCCAGCAGCCGCGGUAAUACGGAGGCUCCGAGCGUUAUCCGGAUUUAUUGGGUUUAAAGGGAGCGUAGGUGGAUUGUUAAGCCAGUUGUGAAAGUUUGCGGCUCAAACGUAAAAUUGCAGUUGAAACUGGCAGUCUUGAGUGCAGUAGAGGUGGGCGGAAUUCGUGGUGUAGCGGUGAAAUGCUUAGAUAUCACGAAGAACUCCGAUUGCGAAGGCAGUUCACUGGACUGCAACUGACACUGAGGCUCGAAAGUGUGGGUAUCAAACAGGAUUAGAUACCCCUGUAGUC